Molecule: long non-coding RNA, 1611 nt
Filed under: Fragaria vesca (wild strawberry)
Lineage: Eukaryota; Viridiplantae; Streptophyta; Magnoliopsida; Rosales; Rosaceae
Description: long non-coding RNA (FVES_LNC002940)
Source: RNAcentral
GGAGCCAGUCAUGAAAUUACAGUUUUCGUGUUGAGCGUUUUGAGCUGUCGCAUGCAGCAUAUCUUCUUUUCUAUGGAAAAGUAAAAAUUGGGAAAGCAUAAAGAAUUAUUUCCUUUAUUUUAUUUUUGUCCACUCACUCUAACGUUAUUAAAUGUUUUCCCCUGGGCCUUUCGUUUUAAAUUGCCCAGUCUGCAGAGUUCGAGUUGGAUCUAGUAGGAGGCGAGGCAUAGUCACCCGCAUUUCUGCCAGUUUUCAUCAGUAGGUUACAUGUUCAACCUACUCGUGUUUUCUUGCUUCCGCUUGUGUUUAGUAGCUCUGAAUACUUUGGGAUUGUUGUAUAUUAAGUGCUGAAUUAAGAGUGAAAUUUGGAAUUUUCGAGUUAGGGUUGUCCAUCUGCAAGGGAGAUUUUCUCAAUCUUUUCAGUAAAUUUUCCUUGGAGGUGGUCCCCGCACGACUUACUCCGGGUUUCAGGGUGAAAUUCGGGGUGGGUCGUGUCAAAUGUUCUCUCUGGUCUUUCCUUGUCUCUUUUUAACUCUAGCUUGCAAGUUUGCAAUACAUUGUUUGUUACUUGUGUUUUUUAGGUAGCCGUUUGAAGCCGUACAUGAAUAAAACUACCUAAAAAAUACAUAGACGUAUCUUGCUUUUUUUUUUAAGGGUUUGGAACCCAACCAAGCUGGGAGGCUCAGCCCUACGCCCGGUUCCAAUUAUUUUAUUGAAAAAGAGAAACAAAAAAGUACAUAAAGGGAGAGGGGGACAUAGACCAAAACUCCUCCCGAAAAAAGAAGAACAACACAAAAACCUGUGUUCUACUAAGGACAAAGAACAACGAAGAACAUAUUCGUUGCUGCAGCCUAAUGAAUUACAAAUCAAAAAACCAAUAUAAGAUCACAAACUAAAACGAUAGUUGGGGAAACCUGCUAAAUCACGUGAAUAAGCUGUAAUUGCACAAGGUGGACAUGAAUCCCACCAAUGAACUCCCGCAUUAUCCGCACCAAAAUUUGCUAAGCAAUCAGCAACGCUGUUACCCUCCCGAUAAAUAUGAGAUACUUUAACAGUCAUAGUAGCAAGAUAGUCCGACAGUUAAACCAUUCAGUAGUGAAACGCCAAGGAACAUCUACUUUAACGUAUCUUGCUUGAUUUAAUGAGAAAUUUUAUUAACACAUCCCUAGUUACUAGAUACACAUCUCAUUCUUAAUAUACCAUCUAUUGACUUUAUUAUUUUAACAUUUUACUAGAUACACAUACUCAACCUUCCUACAAUAUCCUCAUUUAAAAUACAUCACUUAUUCACUAAAUACACAAUUCAUUCACUAAAUACACAUUCUUUUCUAGAUCUGCUACUCAAUUUAUUCAAAAAAAAAAAAAGGAGUAUAUAUAUAGCAUCAUCCCAAGUUCUAUUUUGGUGUUCAGUUUGAACGACCUAGCAUGCAUGAACAGUUUAAUCUAAAUUUCAAACUUCAAUUUGUACUAUCGAUAGUAAAACCUUAAUAAUUUAAUUUUUUUUAUUAUCAAGGAUGUAAAUUUCAUUCCAACAACUCAAAGAUUACAAAUAUUUGCCAAAAAGUCAUAAAUCCCAUCAGGAAUAGGACCAUACCAUCUGCCAGAGAAACC